Long non-coding RNA from Pieris napi, 551 nucleotides. RefSeq lists it as uncharacterized. The transcript has 2 exons. The record is from RefSeq and is a predicted model, not a curated record. Lineage: Eukaryota; Metazoa; Arthropoda; Insecta; Lepidoptera; Pieridae.
GUUUGUAUGAGCUUAUAAAUAUAAAGGCUUUGUGACUUGGACCUGGACCAAUCUGGAUCGUAUACCUACUUAAGACCUACGCAUUCCCGAAGCACUGUGACGUUUUGUGAUUUGGCUUUGUUACAUGGACCGCUUGGAAAUAUCAAUAUCGAAAGUGACAUGAUGGAGAGAGAGAGUUCUAUCUUCUAUAGAAAACAUUGAAAGGGUAGGAACUGCAGCCGAUAUGAAUCCACGAAUGCCUAAAGUGUUGUAUAUGUUCGGAACUAAUAAAACCAAAAUCCUUCCAUCCUGUACGGUUAGAAUGAAUUCAAAAGAAGGAACCGUAUUUUGAAACACACGGUAUUAAAUGUGAUCUGACGCUGAUCAUUACAAACUUGCAACCUUAUAACAACAGAGGAUCGCCAAACCUACCGCAAUUGCAAAUACUUAUUGCAUUAAGGCAUAAAAAUGCAACUGGAUGUUUUCAGAUGGUGUGUGGUGAUCUGAACAGCAUAAGCCAAUCUACAGUCUGUUUAAUUAUAAAUAAAGUCUCUGCAGAGUUGAGUAAAUUA